Molecule: ribosomal RNA, 113 nt
Filed under: Gopherus agassizii (Agassiz's desert tortoise)
Lineage: Eukaryota; Metazoa; Chordata; Testudines; Testudinidae
Source: RNAcentral
GCCUGCAAAUAUACCUGCUUGUGGCAUGAGCCUGGUAAAUGUCACAAGUUAAGAAGGAUUGAACUGAUUCAGUAUUUGGAUGGGAGACCUCUAGAGACAGUGGGUGGUAUGAC